This 377-nucleotide ribosomal RNA is filed under the name uncultured bacterium. RNAcentral describes it as "partial 16S ribosomal RNA". It matches the Rfam family "Bacterial small subunit ribosomal RNA", at positions 523 to 898 of the family's 1533-position model. The record is from RNAcentral.
AUACGUAGGGGGCGAGCGUUGUCCGGAAUUACUGGGCGUAAAGGGCGUGUAGGCGGCCUUUCAAGUCGGCUGUGAAAUUCCCCGGCUCAACCGGGGGGGUGCAGUCGAAACUGGGGGGCUUGAGUGCAGGAGAGGGGGGUGGAAUUCCCGGUGGAGCGGUGAUAUGCGUAGAUAUCGGGAGGAACACCGGUGGCGAAGGCGACCUUCUGGCCUGUUACUGACGCUGAGGCGCGAAAGCCGGGGGAGCAAACAGGAUUAGAUACCCUGGUAGUCCCGGCCGUAAACGCUGGGUACUAGGUGUAGGGGGCUUCGAUGCCUUCUGUGCCGUAGUUAACGCAUUAAGUACCCCGCCUGGGGAGUACGAUCGCAGGGUUGAA